AUGAGGCAAGGCGCACAACCGGCUCACCGCAAGUACACCUACGCCGCCGCCUCCCCGGGGGGUUGCAAGGUGAAGUGGACGGCCGAGGAGAAGCCGCACGGGGCUGGGCUCUCAAGUGGGAGGCGGAGCUCGCCUCCCCCCAAUGACGUCAGCUUUGAUCACAAGUGGAAGUUGGAGCCCAAGUCCAAGCCCGGUGCCGCCAGCAAGGCCAAGACCAAGCUCGAGGAAGCCAGCGAGGAUGACAAGAAUAAGCCGGCGAUGAAGUGCACGCACAUCGAGGAGGUCCUCGCCGGUUGCGACGCCAUCCGCAAGGAUGAUGACUAUCUAAUGGUGAUUCCCUAUUCCCACAUUUUUUGCCCUCAUGUUGCAAGCUCUAAAGCUGCCCCUGCAAUUUACCAUCACAAGACAUGUCUGGACAGCAAGUCUCCUGUGACAAUUACUCUUAAUUCGUCGUUAUAA
RNAcentral lists this ribosomal RNA (459 nucleotides) under Triticum aestivum (bread wheat). RNAcentral's name for it is "partial small subunit ribosomal RNA". The record is from RNAcentral. Lineage: Eukaryota; Viridiplantae; Streptophyta; Magnoliopsida; Poales; Poaceae.